GACAUGAAUGUGAAUGGGAUUCCAGAUUCUAGAAACCCUUAAAUCAUAGACCAUAAGGAACCACACCCCUGGAAGUCACCUGAAGUGAUGUGCGAGCAAUGUCAUAAUCAGGCAGAGAGACUACACAAACACCACACGACUGAUGGGCAUACAGCAUUUCCCAGACAUCUGCACGGAAAUGAGUUCAGUUGGAGCACCUAUAUCAUCUCAUGAAGGACUUGCCAUCAGGCUGACCCAUCUAGGAGUCCAAUGAGUAAAUAAACCAACGGGACUGACCUUCAAAGGGAAAGAACCAGAAACCUCUCUCCAUGUCAAGGACAUUAUAAUCAUGGCCUUGGAAAUCUUCCUUCUCCAUGAUUGGAGCUGCUGGUGCUUCCAGUCAAGGCCAGGAAGAGGAAAUGAAUUCGUGGGAAAGGAGGUCGUGAUCAUAUCGCCCCUGCCCUGAGUUACUCCAGGACCAGAAAACUAGAAAUCACCCCUGCAUAGCCCAGAGCCCGUUGGAAUUAUUCAAACUCUCCAACUUUGAAAACCAAACCCCGUAAUAUUUAGUAGCUGCAAAUGGAUCCCAGGGGACACCAAACGAAUGCACGAUGGAGAGACAUGGAGGAAAGACCCAGAAAACAGUCUGUCAGGGUACUCAGCGUGGCUGCCUUCGGUAAGCUUGUGUGCCCAGAGUGGUAGUUUUGUAUUAACUACGUGUAAUAGAAUCACAUUUUUCUGCUAAGGGGGCUAGAGUGGUGCCAUUUGGUGAAUGUUCACUGUAUGCCCUGAAUUUAGAGAGGAAUAUAUAUUGAGUGGCUGAGUGGUCAGGCAACAUACCCCAGGUCACAGAACUAGCUGGUGCUUGGAGUUUGAAUGCAUGCUUCUGCCUCCAAACGCUGGCUCUUCGUGUCUCUCUGCCCAGCUCCUCACGGCUCUGCUUGUCUCCUUUAACCAGCAGGGUUUGGGGGAAAGGAUGUAAAAGGAGAUAUGGGGGAAUGCAACAUAAAACAAGUGACCUUGCCAAUGGACUUCAAGAGCUGACUGAGGGCUUAUCCCAGGCUAGCUGAAA
Molecule: long non-coding RNA, 1051 nt
Organism: Felis catus (domestic cat)
Lineage: Eukaryota; Metazoa; Chordata; Mammalia; Carnivora; Felidae
Exons: 4
Source: RefSeq, a predicted model, not a curated record